This 363-nucleotide RNase P RNA is filed under the name uncultured Porphyromonas sp. RNAcentral's name for it is "Bacterial RNase P class A". It matches the Rfam family "Bacterial RNase P class A". From Rfam's summary of the family: Ribonuclease P (RNase P) is a ubiquitous endoribonuclease, found in archaea, bacteria and eukarya as well as chloroplasts and mitochondria. Its best characterised activity is the generation of mature 5'-ends of tRNAs by cleaving the 5'-leader elements of precursor-tRNAs. The record is from RNAcentral. Lineage: Bacteria; Pseudomonadati; Bacteroidota; Bacteroidia; Bacteroidales; Porphyromonadaceae.
UAGAGCGGUCUGCCGCUGUCACACGCUCAGUGUGGGGGAGGAAAGUCCGGGCAACAUAGGGUACCAUACUUCCUAACGGGAAGACGGCGUGAGCCGUUGGGUAGGUAACAGAGAAUAACCGCUUCGUAAGGGACGUGUUCCCUAUUGGAAGCAAGGGUGAAAAGGCGGGGUAAGAGCCCACCGGAGCCUGUGGUAACACAGACUGCCGUACCACCAAUGGGUUGCAAGAUCAUGUAUACCGGCUAUUUUAGGGCGACCCGUCCGAUGCCGGGGGGUAGAUUGCUAAAGUGACGCGGUGACGCGCCACGCAGAUAAAUGGCAGACGGCGCAUUAGCGCUACAGAACCCGGCUUACAGCUCUACU